CCCAUCGGCGAAGAUGAACUCAUCUCCUUCAUCAUGGCCAGUAUCGACAUGGAACAUCAGCCCAUCACCUCUGCUCUUGAUGUGCGCGUCGAUUCUGUCUCCACCGAUGAGCUCUUUGGCAUGAUCUCCAACUUCGAUC
This 139-nucleotide small nucleolar RNA is filed under the name Triticum aestivum (bread wheat). RNAcentral describes it as "Small nucleolar RNA Z247". It matches the Rfam family "Small nucleolar RNA Z247". Rfam says of the family: Z247 is a member of the C/D class of snoRNA which contain the C (UGAUGA) and D (CUGA) box motifs. The record is from Rfam by way of RNAcentral. Lineage: Eukaryota; Viridiplantae; Streptophyta; Magnoliopsida; Poales; Poaceae.